RNAcentral lists this ribosomal RNA (255 nucleotides) under uncultured bacterium. Its description in RNAcentral is "partial 16S ribosomal RNA". It matches the Rfam family "Bacterial small subunit ribosomal RNA", at positions 524 to 776 of the family's 1533-position model. The record is from RNAcentral.
UACGUAGGCAGCAAGCGUUGUUCGGAGUUACUGGGCGUAAAGGGUGCGUAGGUGGCUCUAUAAGUAUGGUGUGAAAUCUCCCGGCUUAACUGGGAGGGUGCGCCGUAGACUGUGGGGCUAGAGUGUGGGAGAGGAAAGUGAAAUUCCUGGUGUAGCGGUGAAAUGCGUAGAUAUCAGGAGGAACACCGGUGGUGUAAACGCUUUCUGGACCAUAACUGACACUGAGGCACGAAAAGCGUGGGGUAGCAAAACAGG